This 21-nucleotide microRNA is filed under the name Picea abies (Norway spruce). Its description in RNAcentral is "pab-miR11444". The record is from miRBase by way of RNAcentral. Lineage: Eukaryota; Viridiplantae; Streptophyta; Pinopsida; Pinales; Pinaceae.
AUUUGGUUAAGCAGGAUUACU